AUCUACAGCCACGCCACCCUGAACAAGCCCCGAUCCCGUCUGAUCUCAGAAGCUAAUAAGCAGGGUCAGGCCUAGUUAGUACUUGGAUGGGAGACCACCUAGGAAGACCAGGUGAUGUAGGCA
This is a ribosomal RNA of Pteropus vampyrus (large flying fox), 123 nucleotides long. The record is from Ensembl. Lineage: Eukaryota; Metazoa; Chordata; Mammalia; Chiroptera; Pteropodidae.